Varanus komodoensis (Komodo dragon) is the source of this 2402-nucleotide long non-coding RNA. RefSeq lists it as uncharacterized. Lineage: Eukaryota; Metazoa; Chordata; Lepidosauria; Squamata; Varanidae. The record is from RefSeq and is a predicted model, not a curated record. The transcript is spliced from 3 exons.
AUUCUGUGGGGCGGGCAGCCGAGGUGCAAGUUAGGAUGGGCUCGAUUGCGGGAUCGGGCUGUGGCGGGCCAGUGGGAGAGAAGCUCUUGGGAUGAUGAGGUUGCGAUCCCCUAAACGGAUGUGCGUUGAAAUCCUAUGCGUGUUUGUUCGGAAGUUAGUCCCACUAGGUUCGAUGGAGCUUGCUCCUAGAGGCAGGAAGUGAUGGUGUAUCUGCGAGGAGGAAAGAGGCAGCCUGCAGAAAAUGCAAACUGGCAUAAAUAUUAUGGCUCUGAGACUGAAAUCCUAGGAGCAUCUGCUUGAGAGAGCACAAGGUGGAUAGCACUGAGAAGUGUAGCAUUCAGCUGCUCCAGAGUGCCUACGUCCCUGCGGCUUCCUGAAAGUACACCUUCGCUCAGAACUCCUGAACCCCAAAUCCUGGAGCCAGACAUUGGAUUCAGCACAUGACAGCCUAAGGAAUGGGGAAAACUAUUUCAAAGGCUAGCAAAUAGGGGCGGAGGGUCUAAACACUGCAGAACACACACAACCAGGAAAGGAAGGAAUAGGGAAUUGGAGAGCAGCAUAAUACAGAAUUACAAACAAUCCACACUCUCCUGGGGUGUUUGGCCAUCUUGAAACCAAAGCAAAAAUGUUACCUAAUGUAUCCUCUUCGGCAAGAUAGCACAGCAUCCUCCAGCAGCAACAGGGAACCUCUCCAAAAAAGAACCCCGAGCUGUACGCUCCCCUCAUUUAUACCUUUUAGAUCCAUCAGAUAACCAAUGGGGUGGCAUCUCCUGACAUAUUCCAGGUGAGAAGCAUUUGCCCUAUAGCCCUCAAAUCUUCAGUUCUCUUAGGGAAUGUGAAAUUCCUUGACCACGGGUGUCAUUUACAGUACCUGGUGUUUACACAUUGCCAGCCCUAUCUGGCCCUCCCGCAGCCUUGGCACCUAGCUCUCCUUGAAUCACCACCUGGGCUGAGCAGCCCUUCAUCCAAGCCAGUUGUUAACUCCUUCCUGGCCAAGAAGGGCCCUAGACACUUUUCGUAACAAGAAGGGAUGAGGGAGGAUGAUGGCAGCACCAGGAGACACAGUUCUGCAACCAUUCUCAAUAACCCACUAUGGGGUUGCCCUGCCAAGAUGCAUCUGUCAUGACAAGCGAUCCUGAACAACCCAUGAAUAGACCAUAGGUUCUCUGGGUAGUUUGUUAAUGAAAAACAACUAUGAUUUUAAAAAUGUUCAAGAUUUGAGCAACAUGACAAGCUAUCCUGAAACAACACAGCAUAGAGUACUGUGUUCUCAUUGUGAACCAGGUAUUCCUGUCCACUGAACUGCAUUAGCCGAAGAUCUGAGCCACUGUACGGUCAUCAUUGAGCCACUAUGCAAUUCGUCUAGCCUAUAUCAUGUAUUCUUUUUUUUUCUUUUUUCUUUUUUUUUUGAGCUGGGAAAAUGUACAAAAUGUGCUGUACACAAUGAUGAAGAGAAGUUGGAUACCACAACUAUUAUAUUUUUCUUAGUUAAACUGGAUGAUAUACAAUGAAAGUCUCCAGCUGCUGUUCACAUCAAAUAAUUUAAAUUCUAUUAUUUGGAAGGUUCAGAAACAUCCAAGUAGUUCUGGCCUACAUAGGCCAAAUAAAGCCUGAAGGUCCAUGAAUGUUGAUGGAAAGUAGGGAUGCUAGCCAAGUCUGCCGUGUGAUUUCCAGAUUACACAGUUUGAUGUUCAGCAAACAUACAGAACCUGCAAUGUGCACUUUUUAAUAAAUAGAAAAUAUCCUUAAUUUCUGACUUCAGAAAUUUCUAGGCAAAGUGUCAAGGCUGGUAAAGACGUUUAAAGCUGUGCUGCUAAAUUUCCUGUCUUUUGUUGUUGUUGUCUCACCUUUUACAUUCCUAAAUUUAUUUUGAGCAGUCCCCAAAUGGCGAAGUAGUAAAGUAAGCACGGUCUACCAGUUUGGUAACCAUCAUUCUUUCUAAAUGUCUUGCUCUGCAGAGAAUACAGUGAUAAGAAAGCUCUUGUUUUGCUACAAAGAUCCUGCAGAGAUGAAAGUCAGCACCAGCAACCUAUUACUUCUCAGAUCAAAGACAGUUGGGAAAACACAAAAUUUACUCAGCAUAAUAUUGAUUGAUCUAGAAUUACUGCCACGUAUGCAUCCAUAUGGCACUUUUCUUACCCAUUUAGCCUUUGAGAUAAUUGACAAACUUAGCUUAUAACAAAUAUAUUUAUUUCAUAUUUUGUUUAUCCUUUUUGUAUUACUUCAGCUCUACUGUAAUUUUGAGCCACAACAUAUGAGAUGCAUGCUGUGUCCGCAAACAGAGAAGUAUAACUUCGGAGGGAGAGACUGCUUAUUAGUUUGAGGUUUGCUUAAUUUUAUUUUUUUUAUUUUUCAAAUGCUGACUCAAAACACAUGUAAACAAGUAAUAAGAAUGCCUUAUU